This 468-nucleotide ribosomal RNA is filed under the name uncultured bacterium. RNAcentral's name for it is "partial 16S ribosomal RNA". It matches the Rfam family "Bacterial small subunit ribosomal RNA", at positions 28 to 507 of the family's 1533-position model. The record is from RNAcentral.
GACGAACGCUGGCGGCGUGCUUAACACAUGCAAGUCGAACGGAAAGGCCCUGCUUUUGUGGGGUGCUCGAGUGGCGAACGGGUGAGUAACACGUGAGUAACCUGCCCUUGACUUUGGGAUAACUUCAGGAAACUGGGGCUAAUACCGGAUAGGAGCUCCUGCUGCAUGGUGGGGGUUGGAAAGUUUCGGCGGUUGGGGAUGGACUCGCGGCUUAUCAGCUUGUUGGUGGGGUAGUGGCUUACCAAGGCUUUGACGGGUAGCCGGCCUGAGAGGGUGACCGGCGACAUUGGGACUGAGAUACGGCCCAGACGCCUACGGGAGGCAGCAGUGGGGAAUAUUGCACAAUGGGCGGAAGCCUGAUGCAGAAACGCCGGGUGCGGGAUAACGGCCUUCGGGUUGUAAACCGCUUUCGCCUGUGACGAAGCGUGAGUGACGGUAAUGGGUAAAGAAGCACCGGCUAACUACGUG